AAAGACUUGACGGUACUUCACAACACCCUAGAGGAGCCUGUCUAAUAACCGAUACUCCACGAUUAACCCCACCUGCCCUAGCCCCACAGUCUAUAUACCGCCGUCGCCAGCUUACCUUGUGAAAGAAAUAAAGUGAGCAGAACAAACUACCUUUAACACGACAGGUCAAGGUGUAACUAAUGAGCAGGUAAAAGAUGGGCUACAUUUUCUAACGCAGAAAACACGAAUCAAACCAUGAAAUCAUAACUGAAGGCGGAUUUAAUAGUAAGAUAAAAAUAGAAUGCUUA
This 287-nucleotide ribosomal RNA is filed under the name Oxyrhopus formosus. Its description in RNAcentral is "partial 12S ribosomal RNA". Lineage: Eukaryota; Metazoa; Chordata; Lepidosauria; Squamata; Dipsadidae. The record is from RNAcentral.